AUACCGGAUAUGACUACAGGCUUCAUGGUUUGUGGUGGAAAGCUUUUGCGGUGUGGGGUGGGCCCGCGGCCUAUCAGCUUGUUGGUGGGGUAAUGGCCUACCAAGGCGACGACGGGUAGCCGGCCUGAGAGGGUGUCCGGCCACACUGGGACUGAGAUACGGCCCAGACUCCUACGGGAGGCAGCAGUGGGGAAUAUUGCACAAUGGGCGCAAGCCUGAUGCAGCGACGCCGCGUGGGGGAUGACGGCCUUCGGGUUGUAAACCUCUUUCAGCUCUGACGAAGCGCAAGUGACGGUAGGAGCAGAAGAAGGACCGGCCAACUACGUGCCAGCAGCCGCGGUAAUACGUAGGGUCCGAGCGUUGUCCGGAAUUACUGGGCGUAAAGAGCUCGUAGGUGGUUUGUCGCGUUGUUCGUGAAAUCUCACAACUCAAUUGUGAGCGUGCGGGCGAUACGGGCAGACUGGAGUACUGCAGGGGAGACUGGAAUUCCUGGUGUAGCGGUGGAAUGCGCAGAUAUCAGGAGGAACACCGGUGGCGAAGGCGGGUCUCUGGGCAGUAACUGACGCUGAGGAGCGAAAGCGUGGGGAGCGA
RNAcentral lists this ribosomal RNA (591 nucleotides) under uncultured Actinomycetes bacterium. Its description in RNAcentral is "bacterial SSU rRNA". It matches the Rfam family "Bacterial small subunit ribosomal RNA", at positions 166 to 771 of the family's 1533-position model. Lineage: Bacteria; Bacillati; Actinomycetota; Actinomycetes. The record is from RNAcentral.